This 85-nucleotide transfer RNA is filed under the name Candidatus Auribacterota bacterium. Its description in RNAcentral is "tRNA-Tyr". It matches the Rfam family "tRNA". From Rfam's summary of the family: Transfer RNA (tRNA) molecules are approximately 80 nucleotides in length. RNAcentral also lists the same sequence under 1 other name. The record is from RNAcentral. Lineage: Bacteria; Pseudomonadati; Candidatus Auribacterota.
GGGUAGGUGCCCGAGUGGCCAAAGGGAGCAGACUGUAAAUCUGCCGGCGUAGCCUUCGAUGGUUCGAAUCCAUCCCUGCCCACCA